This 83-nucleotide transfer RNA is filed under the name Alosa alosa (allis shad). RNAcentral describes it as "tRNA-Val". The record is from RNAcentral. Lineage: Eukaryota; Metazoa; Chordata; Actinopteri; Clupeiformes; Clupeidae.
GUUUCCAUAGUGUAGUGGUUAUCACGUUAAGCCUAACUUGCCAAAAGCAUGAAAGGUCCCCAGUUCGAAACUGGGUGGAAACA